RNAcentral lists this unclassified non-coding RNA (332 nucleotides) under soil metagenome. Its description in RNAcentral is "partial contains 5.8S ribosomal RNA, internal transcribed spacer 2, and large subunit ribosomal RNA". The stretch from base 1 to 120 matches the Rfam family "5.8S ribosomal RNA", at positions 35 to 154 of the family's 154-position model. The record is from RNAcentral.
GAUGAAGAACGCAGCAAAAUGCGAUAAGUAAUGUGAAUUGCAGAAUUCAGUGAAUCAUCGAAUCUUUGAACGCACAUUGCGCCCGCCAGUAUUCUGGCGGGCAUGCCUGUUCGAGCGUCAUUUCAACCCUCAAGCACAGCUUGGUGUUGGGACUCGCGUUAAUUCGCGUUCCCCAAAUUGAUUGGCGGUCACGUCGAGCUUCCAUAGCGUAGUAGUAAAACCCUCGUUACUGGUAAUCGUCGCGGCCACGCCGUUAAACCCCAACUUCUGAAUGUUGACCUCGGAUCAGGUAGGAAUACCCGCUGAACUUAAGCAUAUCAAUAAGCGGAAGA